RNAcentral lists this ribosomal RNA (591 nucleotides) under uncultured bacterium. RNAcentral's name for it is "partial 16S ribosomal RNA". It matches the Rfam family "Bacterial small subunit ribosomal RNA", at positions 355 to 1376 of the family's 1533-position model. The record is from RNAcentral.
UGGGGAAUCUUCCGCAAUGGACGAAAGUCUGACGGAGCAACGCCGCGUGAGUGAAGAAGGUUUUCGGAUCGUAAAACUCUGUCUUUUGGGGCGAACGUGAGUAUGGUGAACAAUCAUAGUCAGUGACGGUACCAAAGGAGGAAGCCACGGCUAACUACGUGCCAGCAGCCGCGGUAAUACGUAGGUGGCAAGCGUUGUCCGGAAUUAUUGGGCGUAAAGAGCGCGUAGGCGGGAUAGUCAGUCUGUUGUAAAAGUGCGGGGCUCAACCCCGUGAUGGCAAUGGAAACAGCUAUUCUUGAGUGCAGGAGAGGAAAGGUGGAAUUCCCAGUGUAGCGGUGAAAUGCGUAGAUAUUGGGAGGAACACCAGUGGCGAAGGCGACUUUCUGGACUGUGUCUGACGCUGAGGCGCGAAAGCCAGGGGAGCGAACGGGAUUAGAUACCCCGGUAGUCCUGGCCGUAAACGAUGGGUACUAGGUGUGGGAGGUAUCGACCCCCUUCCGUGCCGGAGUUAACGCAAUAAGUACCCCGCCUGGGGAGUACGGUCGCAAGACUGAAACUCAAAUGAAUUGACGGGGUCAUAGCUGUUUCCUG